UGAACUCUACAACAAAAUGAAAUAAACUGGGAUUCAUAUAAUUUCAUCUGGUUUGCUCAGCUCCAAAGAGAUGAAAAUUGAAUUAUCUGGAGUAUGAGAGUGUUGUUUGAAACAAGUUAGUAAUAAUUUAAAAAACAGCUCUUAAGUAAACUUUUCCCUCUUCCCAAUUACAAGGCAUGGGAGAAAAGAAAAAUAGACAUUUAAGCUUAGAAAUCACAGGAGACUUCCAGGGCUGCUUUGCCUGUCCCCAGCUCUCUUAAAUGGGGAGCUAGUCAGACGGUACCUGGGGAACAGAGGGAGGAGGGAGAGCACUUACUACACAUCAAGAAGGUAAAUAUAAACCCCAAAGGCUUACGUUACUCAUCAGACCACAAUAUGGCCUGGUACUAAGCAGCGCGCGUGUGGAAGGCUGGGUGGGGUGC
Molecule: long non-coding RNA, 422 nt
Filed under: Homo sapiens (human)
Lineage: Eukaryota; Metazoa; Chordata; Mammalia; Primates; Hominidae
Description: non-protein coding lnc-RIMS2-1:1
Source: RNAcentral